AUAAACACCAAAUAUAAGAAAUGAUCAUGAACUAUCAACUUUUGUUUCAGUUCUUUAAUUUCAAGUUACUUCACAUAUUUCUGCUUUUUUUUAUCAACAACUUUAUCUGAUGAACACAAAUGUCAUCAAUUUAGUAAAGUGCUGACAUACAUUAUUAAAAGCAAACAUUUUAACCCUUGAAGGUACUGCUUCAUAAUUGUAUAAGAACCCAAG
Molecule: long non-coding RNA, 213 nt
Filed under: Mytilus galloprovincialis (Mediterranean mussel)
Lineage: Eukaryota; Metazoa; Mollusca; Bivalvia; Mytilida; Mytilidae
Source: RNAcentral